UACAGAGGGGGCAAGCGUUGUUCGGAAUUACUGGGCGUAAAGGGCGCGUAGGUGGCCGCCUAAGUCGGACGUGAAAUCCCUCGGCUCAACCGGGGAACUGCGUCCGAUACUGGGUGGCUUGAAUCCGGGAGAGGGAUGUGGAAUUCCAGGUGUAGCGGUGAAAUGCGUAGAUAUCUGGAGGAACACCGGUGGCGAAGGCGGCAUCCUGGACCGGUAUUGACGCUGAGGCGCGAAAGCCAGGGGAGCAAACGGG
RNAcentral lists this ribosomal RNA (253 nucleotides) under uncultured bacterium. RNAcentral's name for it is "partial 16S ribosomal RNA". It matches the Rfam family "Bacterial small subunit ribosomal RNA", at positions 524 to 776 of the family's 1533-position model. The record is from RNAcentral.